UAUCUCCUGCAGCGUUCGAGGGUGUGCCGGGUGUUUCCUGAACCUGUUUUACCCCCGGGGGCUGUUAUCCGUUUUGGUGCGCAUGCCCGUCUUGUACGGGAAGCCUGAUUAACGGUCAUGUCCCCACUUGAACCGCCGGUUCAAGGACGAAGGCAUGCUACGGCGCAGGCGGGAGAUAC
RNAcentral lists this non-coding RNA (179 nucleotides) under Methylococcaceae bacterium. RNAcentral describes it as "6S RNA". It matches the Rfam family "6S / SsrS RNA". Rfam says of the family: E. coli 6S RNA was the first non coding RNA to be sequenced, but its function was unknown until recently. It consists of 184 nucleotides that fold into an extended hairpin structure with a large single-stranded internal bulge. RNAcentral also lists the same sequence under 1 other name. The record is from RNAcentral. Lineage: Bacteria; Pseudomonadati; Pseudomonadota; Gammaproteobacteria; Methylococcales; Methylococcaceae.